UACGUAGGGUGCAAGCGUUGUCCGGAAUUAUUGGGCGUAAAGAGCUCGUAGGUGGUUUGUCGCGUCUGCCGUGAAAGCCCGGGGCUUAACCCCGGGUCGGCAGUGGAUACGGGCAGGCUAGAGGUAGGUAGGGGAGAAUGGAAUUCCCGGUGUAGCGGUGAAAUGCGCAGAUAUCGGGAGGAACACCGGUGGCGAAGGCGGUUCUCUGGGCCUUACCUGACGCUGAGGAGCGAAAGCGUGGGGAGCGAACAGG
Molecule: ribosomal RNA, 253 nt
Filed under: uncultured bacterium
Lineage: Bacteria
Description: partial 16S ribosomal RNA
Rfam family: Bacterial small subunit ribosomal RNA
Source: RNAcentral